Non-coding RNA from Parelaphostrongylus tenuis, 73 nucleotides. The record is from the annotation of a GenBank genome assembly. NCBI's taxonomy places the organism in Eukaryota, Metazoa, Nematoda, Chromadorea, Rhabditida, Metastrongylidae.
GCCUCGGUGGUAUAGUGGUAGAGCACGAGUCCCGGAAUAGAAUGAAAUGCGGGUUCGAUUCCCGCCUGAGGCU